RNAcentral lists this RNase P RNA (346 nucleotides) under human gut metagenome. Its description in RNAcentral is "Bacterial RNase P class A". It matches the Rfam family "Bacterial RNase P class A". From Rfam's summary of the family: Ribonuclease P (RNase P) is a ubiquitous endoribonuclease, found in archaea, bacteria and eukarya as well as chloroplasts and mitochondria. The record is from RNAcentral.
GGAGCGGACUGCCGCGCGCCAUGUUGCCGAAAGGUAUUGGUGUGAGGAAAGUCCGGGCUUCACAGGGCAAGGAUAACGGAUAACGACCGCCGGAGGCGACUCCAGGGAAAGUGCAACAGAAAUAGACCGCCGUCCUCACGGACGGUAAGGAUGGAAAGGCGAGGUAAGAGCUCACCGGCACGACAGGCGACUGUGUGCAAAUGUAAACCCUAUCCGAAGCAACACCGUAUGCGGACGGGAAUAUUCCCGUGUCGGCCCGGCACAGUUCCGCAGGUGGCGAAAAGCGGCGCGGCAACGCGGCGCUAAGAUAGAUGGCAGUACAAGACAGAACCCGGCUUACAGCUCC